CAGGUCCGUCCGCCCACAGUUCAGCAUCCGGAAGCCCAGGUCCUGCUUGAACUUGGCUUCAAUGGCCACUGCAUCCAGCUUCCGAGAGGCACAAAAGCAGUCGUCGGCCCUAAGGAAGGGAGAGACGGUCAGGGCCCGAAGCACACAGUAUUAACCGACAGGCGAGCCACACAUGACUCAGCAUCACCUGUUUAUCAAGAAUCCCUCGGCCAGACAAAGUUAGCGACGGUUCUGGUUAUUGAAUUUUACCAACCAAGGCAGCAAGCAGAUGAAAGCUGCAUUCGUGUAAACAUGACUCAAAGCUCCAUUUCUGGAAGGUCUGGGAGGUCUCUGAAGGAUCUGCCACUGAAGACCAACAGGACCCCCUGCGGCCUGGACAAACAGCACGCC
This is a long non-coding RNA of Equus quagga, 390 nucleotides long. RefSeq lists it as uncharacterized. NCBI's taxonomy places the organism in Eukaryota, Metazoa, Chordata, Mammalia, Perissodactyla, Equidae. The transcript is spliced from 3 exons. The record is from RefSeq and is a predicted model, not a curated record.